GUCCACGCCCUAAACGAUGUCAACUGGUUGUUGGGAAUUCACUUUCUCAGUAACGAAGCUAACGCGUAAAGUUGACCGCCUGGGGAGUACGGCCGCAAGGUUGAACUCAAAGGAAUUGACGGGGACCCGCACAAGCGGUGGAUGAUGUGGUUUAAUUCGAUGCAACGCGAAAAACCUUACCCACCUUUGACAUGUACGGAAGUUGCCAGAGAUGGCUUCGUGCUCGAAAGAGAACCGUAACACAGGUGCUGCAUGGCUGUCGU
RNAcentral lists this ribosomal RNA (263 nucleotides) under uncultured bacterium. RNAcentral's name for it is "partial 16S ribosomal RNA". It matches the Rfam family "Bacterial small subunit ribosomal RNA", at positions 793 to 1055 of the family's 1533-position model. The record is from RNAcentral.